GGGGAUUUAGCUCAGUUGUACAGCGUUUGCCUAGCAAGCACAAGGCCCUGGGUUCGGUCCCCAGCUCCCA
Rattus norvegicus (Norway rat) is the source of this 70-nucleotide non-coding RNA. The record is from Rfam. Lineage: Eukaryota; Metazoa; Chordata; Mammalia; Rodentia; Muridae.